RNAcentral lists this ribosomal RNA (497 nucleotides) under uncultured bacterium. Its description in RNAcentral is "partial 16S ribosomal RNA". It matches the Rfam family "Bacterial small subunit ribosomal RNA", at positions 28 to 507 of the family's 1533-position model. The record is from RNAcentral.
GAUGAACGCUGGCGGCGUGCCUAAUACAUGCAAGUCGAGCGAACGGACGAGAAGCUUGCUUCUCUGAUGUUAGCGGCGGACGGGUGAGUAACACGUGGAUAACCUAUCUAAAAGACUGGGAUAACUUCGGGAAACCGGAGCUAAUACCGGAUAAUAUUUUGAACCGCAUGGUUCAAAAGUGAAAGACGGUCUUUCUGUCACUUAUAGAUGGAUCCGCGCUGCAUUAGCUAGUUGGUAAGGUAACGGCUUACCCAGGCAACGAUGCAUAGCCGACCUGAUAGGGUGAACGGCCACACUAGAACGGAGACGCGGUCCAGACUCCUACGGGAGGCAGCAGUAGGGAAGCUUCCGCAAUGGGCGAAAGCCUGACGGAGCAACGCCGCGUGAGGGCUGAAGGUAUUCGGAUCGGAAAACUCAGUUAUUAGGGAAGAACAUAUGUGUAAGUAACUGUGCACUUCUUGAAGGUACCUAAUCAGAAAGCAACGGCUAACUACGUG